AGAGAAUGUCCGUUUCUCGGAGCGCAGCACAGCCUGUCCCAUCGAGAAGCCUCGGGUGAGGGGCCCGGUGGGCGCCCGGAGGCCGCUGGAGGGCUGUGGGAGGGACGGUGGCUCCCCACUCCCGUGGCGAAGGGCAGGCAAACCAGAAGCCUCUUUUGAGAGCCGUUUGGGAUUGAGACGAGUAAGCCACAGCGAGUGGUUAGAAGUAGGUUAGGAAGAAGGGGAGGUAAGAAAGCCGAGUAGGGUUCUGGGCCGGAGCCGUUCACUGAGACAGGAACCCUGGGGGAGAUGCGCUGUCUCCCUGGCGUCUCGGUGCAAAUGCCCAGAGAGCGGCUGGAACCCCUCGAGGCUGGAGCACGGGGACGCCGGCCUGGGGUGUAGGUCUGGGAGCAGUCGGCCGUCAGCUUCCCAGAGACCGUGACAAAAGAC
Molecule: long non-coding RNA, 429 nt
Filed under: Homo sapiens (human)
Lineage: Eukaryota; Metazoa; Chordata; Mammalia; Primates; Hominidae
Description: non-protein coding LINC00354:12
Source: RNAcentral